Molecule: unclassified non-coding RNA, 285 nt
Filed under: plant metagenome
Description: partial contains small subunit ribosomal RNA, internal transcribed spacer 1, and 5.8S ribosomal RNA
Rfam family: Eukaryotic small subunit ribosomal RNA (bases 1-54)
Source: RNAcentral
GGAAGUAAAAGUCGUAACGAGGUUUCCGUAGGUGAACCUGCGGAAGGAUCACCAUUGUAUAACCGAGGUGCGAGGGCUGUCGCUGACCCGAAAGGUCGUGCACGCCCGAGUGCCCUCACACACAUACGUCUCACCCCUAUGUGCACCACCGCGUGGGUCCCCCUUUGGCUUGUUCGGAGGGGGGCUUACGUUUUCACACAAACUUUGUAUGCAGUGUAGAAUGUAUUUUUUGUUUUUGCGAUCACGCAAUCAAUACAACUUUCAACAACGGAUCUCUUGGCUCUC